CUUUGAUGUGCUUGUCAGACUCGGCUUUGUUCAAUUGGAAAGCUGGUGGUAAAUUUUGAAGUUAUUUCUCACUUGUUUCGAUAAAACAGACUCAAAAGGGAUUCAAACAAGACAAGCGGAACAAAAUAAGGGGAAAAUGAGAAAAGAUGGUAUCAAACAAGCAAAAAUUAUUACCUAGGAAAAAGAACAAAGAAGUAACUAAGCUGUUUGAAGGCCAUCUCCACUGACCCAUGACAUGCAUUUUGGAUUAGACGACCUGAUCUCUCAAGCAAGUCUAAUAUUUAACUCUUGUUGUACCUCUUCGCUGUGAAACUGGGCUUCAGCGCUUCAAUUUUCCCAUCUGAUCCACAAUUCUCAAUCGACUUGUAGUGCCAUGAAGGGCGUUUACCAUCAAGCCUCUCUCAUUUUGUUCUUAUCUCAACUCACCAUCGCGUUACGAUGCCUAGAGGGUUUUCACCGAUAAGACUCUCUCAUUUUAUCAUUUUCUCUCUUUGCAAUGAGAAUAAGGUAUUACCCAUGAUGUAGAAAGAUCAUACUUUUACCACACACUUGAUUUAGCAUCCUCAAAGAUUGGUCAGAAGGUCUUUCUUUGGACCAUAGUGUAGGAUUUUGGACAGGGUUGGAAAGAAAGGGUGACAUAAAGGCUCAAAAUAAUUUAAGAUGAAAGGGUUCAAAAUAACAACUUUUGGAAUCAGGCCUUUCGGCAAAAUUAAAAAUUCUUCCCCAGUUUCUCGGAGUUUGGGGGGAUUAUUUUCUCUCUUUUUAUGGGGUUUCUAAGAAAAUCUGCCCCAGUAUUGAUUUUGGGGAAUUAUGAAAUAUUUUAUAUCGUGUGACCGAACCGUGAGGCUGCCUACGUAUCUUGUGGUGACAAGAAUCAGGUCGAACGUAGUUCAAACGGCAAAGUUGCUUGUUUUUUUUCUUUUCUAUCUUUUUGUUCUUUCUUUUUCUUCUUUUCUCUUUUCUUUUUUUCCUUUUUUCUUUUCUCCUUCUUUUUUUCCCUUUUUCUUCUUUUCUCUUUUCUUUUUUUCCUUUUUUCUUUUCUCCUUUUUUUUUCCCUUUUUCUUCUUUUUCUCUUUUUCCUUUUCUUUUCUUGUUCGUAAUUCCAUUUCUGAUUCCAAAAGAGGGGUAUGAAAUAAAAAAAAAUUAGGGCUCAAAAUGGGUAGCAAAGGAUAAAAGUGUUUGGGUAGCAAAAUAAAAUGCCUUUCGCCAUACCAAACUUAAAAGGUGACAAAAAUGGUGUUCAGAAGGAAAUAAACUCAAAGUCGCCACCUGACAUUGAAUUUCGGUGUGCCAGGCCACCGAUUCUUAAAAAAUAUUUUCCUUUUAAAAUACUUGGACUCAAAACUAAGUCCGCACCAGAGAUUCGGAUAAGGGGGUUCAUUUGACUCGGGGAGAAAGUGUUAGGCACUAGCCAUGUCCCCUGAAGGUCACCGUUGUGUACUCGAUCGAGCUGGCUUUUAAAAUAUUCAAAUUGAGGCAAAAACACGCAAAAAGAGACUAAACAAUCGAAGAGGCUCGAGGUCGUCCCCACCUAAUAAAGGAAAAACAAAAGAAAAAAUAAAGUACUAUUCUAUGCUUCCUCAAGUUACUUCGUCUUUGGCCUUCAUUUACAUUCACUUCGAGGCAUACCCCGGAUAAUUAUAUAUACAAACUUUACGGGGUAUUUCCCGGACAAAUUUAACUACGGAAACGACCUCUCCCAUAAAAUUGACAAAAAUCCUAAAGUUUGCCUACCCAGGUGUGGUUGGCAUAAACAUGCCAUUAGCGAACCCAAGUAAAUCAAGAUAAAACAAUAAGAUUAUUGCCCGAACCCCAUAGUUCAUCUCAAGCCCAACUCCGAUUAUCAACAUCAUCCCUUAUAGCACACACACUAGUGAAUUUAACCCAAUCACUCAAACUUAUGGAAUACAAUAAAGCUACAAAAGUAGCAGAAAUACUAUUAAGCCCAAACCUCUUUCUUGUUUCCAAAUAUGGUCCAUUUUAAUUCAAUUUUUAUAACUAAACCCCAACAACUAUAAAUUAAAUUAACUCUUAUUGCCCGAACCUCUUUCUUGUUUCCAAAUAUUGUCCAUUUUAAUUCAAUUUUUAUUACUAAACCCCAACAACUAUAAAUAAAAUUAACUCUUAUAUUCUUAGCUAAAGAAGUAAUGAUUCAAAGUAUGAUAUCAAUUCUGUUAAGAACACAUUAACGUACAAAUUAUAGUAUAAGCCAUAAUACCAUUUUGUAAAUCAAUCAAUCAGCAACACAGUUUGAGAAUAAAAAUGCAAGAAGGAAGGAAGAGAGUUAGACCUCAAAUUAGCAAAUUGUCGCCUUUGAUAAUUGGACCGAAAGCCGAACGACGUGUACGCUUAAACAAAUUUGAAAAUGAGUAAGGAACGGCUAUCGCACCCUCGAAACAAGAGCAGAACCAAUAAAUCGCACAACACCGGAGGACUCAAACUUAAACACGGCCACUAAAUACUCAAUCGAACUCCAUGUCUCAAGUCAAAAUCCGAAAACCGAAAUGAAGAAAUAGAGAUAUCUUCUUUUUUUUUGCUUUUUAUAUUGUUCUGUUUUGGAACUAAACUGAAACACAAAAAAAACAAUGGAGAAGCUGGAUGUUGGAAUGGAGUUGCAGCUGUUGUUGUUUCAUCGGAGAUGGACGACGUUUGGAGUGAAGUUCAGGUGGUCUGAUAGCUGGUCGAUGAAAUAGCAGCUGGCGGAGUUAUGGAUGGUCUUGCGGUGGCUGCUUUUGUGUCUUAGGGUUCAGGGAUGUUGUGAGGAAAGUAAGGCGCUGGUCGUUUGGUAUUGUUGGCGGCGAUUUGAUGAUGUUGGUCGGAGAUGGUCUUUUGGAGAGGUGUUGGAGAGAGGUCGUUUAUGGUGGUAUGAAGAAGAAAAAGAAGAAGAAGAGAUGAGAGGGAGCAGCGUCGGCUGGUUUCCGCCGUGAAGGGCUAUUUCGUGGCGGCUUCUGGUGUUAGGGUUUUGGUACUGAAGAAAGAGAUGAAGUAGCUCGCGUUUCGCUUAUUUCCUCCAUUGUUGUUUUGGUGUUAGGGUUUAGGUCUUGUAUUGUGUAAUGUGAAGAAGAUGAAGUGUAGGGUUUUUCUUUGAAGAAGAAUGGGUAUGGGCCAAGUCUUGUAGGGCUUGAAAUUGGGCCUCUUGCAAGAAUAUAAU
Molecule: long non-coding RNA, 3151 nt
Filed under: Nicotiana benthamiana
Lineage: Eukaryota; Viridiplantae; Streptophyta; Magnoliopsida; Solanales; Solanaceae
Description: long non-coding RNA (NBEN_LNC012809)
Source: RNAcentral